RNAcentral lists this long non-coding RNA (3789 nucleotides) under Sus scrofa (pig). RNAcentral describes it as "lncRNA (ENSSSCG00060044829.1)". Lineage: Eukaryota; Metazoa; Chordata; Mammalia; Artiodactyla; Suidae. The record is from RNAcentral.
GCAACACCAAGAUGAUAAGGAUUUUUGCUGUGUAGGCGUUGCCAUCUCACACCUUCCAGUUUUCUUCCUGAGCAUGUCCUGGGGCAAGUGGCAGGAGGUGGCUUUUUGCAGCCCUCUUCUCUUAAUGAGGACAGUCAGUCCUAGCGUAGGGACGUGUGGAGGCAGAGAUGAGGGGCAGAUGAACAAGAAACUGUUUGGCCGAGGUCUUAGGAAAUUAUUUUUUCUGGAAUUAAUCCACUUGGAAUAUACACUCUAGCGAUUGUCUAUUUCUGGCUCCAGAAUUUUUCUUUGGGUGGCAGUCUUGGUUCGGACUCUUGAGUUUUUCCAACAGGAGAACUUGACAUUCACAUUCUAAGAGUGCUCUGUAAUGUUUCCAUUUACAUACCAGUUUCCCUCAUCUUGUGCCUGGAAGGGUAUGUGAAUAUAUGCAAGAAUCAGAGAUUCAUUUUUAGCUGCGGCAGAAGCGAGCCCCAGGGGAGAAGUCAAGAUAACUGGAUUCCUGAAAUGGUAACUUGGCAACUCAUCUCUUUCAGUUCCUUAGCCUGCAAAGCGUUUCUGUGGUUUGAGAAGCUAAGUAGCUCCUGCUUGUGAAGGUCAUCUUUAGAAGGAUGCUGUGCAGGUAUCAGGACCCCUUAUCAUCUUAACACCCUUUACCCCAGGCCGCAGGUCAUCAGUUGAGAAGCAUAUCAAAGCAAGAGGGGUGGGGAGUAUAUUUGAUGGGGCCCUAAAAUUGCUUGUGCCUUCCUGGUCCAAGGAAAAGAAGAAGGGACAUCCUGGGUGUUAAAAUGUAAGGAAAUCCUCCCAAGGUAGAGACCAGCAAGGGAGUUGGGAUUGGGGGGAGUGACAUUUGAGAGGCCUCUUAAACGUGGCUGAGGCCUGGCGAAGGAGGGCCGUUGGAGGGAGGAAUAGCUGAAAGGACUCGAGAGGUUCCGCAUGCGAUCAGGCGCGUGUCCCCGAGUGGAGCAGACUGGAUGAGGCAUCAGAGAGCCCUGGCUCAGGUAGGCUCCCGUUUCCAAGAUGCUCCCUGGCUGGCCCAUGAAACCAUACACACUCUGGGAAGACGGGGGAACCUGGGAUCUCCAGGCGAAGGGGUUAGUGCAUGGUUUUUUCAUUUCACGUGCAGACUAGAACUCAGAAGGUCCUGUUUCCCAAAGUACGAGCUGGCUGAGCUCUAAACGCAGGGCUACAGGGAGGCUUUCACCUCCAAAGACAGCAUUGCCCGGUGAGCAUUGGCAGGCAGGGCAUACCUGUCAGAGGGGCUCUGUAUCCUCUUAAAAUAUCCUUUUUAUUGCCAGUUGUUUCAGCCAGGGCUGUUUCUGUAGAAGCUGUUGAUGAAAAGAAGGGCAUUAUUCUGAGGAGGAAGUUCUGGGAACUAGGUUGAGGAACGGUGCUCUCGAAGCCAGAUCCUAGAACCAGGAAGGCUAGAAAUAGGUUAAAUAUCCCUGCUUUAUCAGAAAGAAAGCCCCAGAUGAAAAGUCUCAAGUAGCUUCCAGCUUGGUUAGGAGGUAAGCUUCCCGCGUUUGCAUGAAUUAGCUGGAGAGCCACUUAGUGCUGCUGGAGCCAACUUUAUGGCGGGAGGUCAGCAAAGAGAGGAGUUCACGGAGGGUGGACGGAGGGGGGCUGGCACUGGGCGGAAAGCCGCAACUGGGGCGCCUCUCUGCUGCCUGGUGCUUGAUUGACUGUGCACAGCAGUCUAGGGAGAGGGACCAGGGCCGGAGGAAAGUCACUGCAGAGACCGAGUAGCACCACUGUGAAGUUUGAAGGGGCACGUGUGAAGUUUUAGGGAAACACCAGAUCAAUGUAUCACGCCUGCCCCAGGUCCCUCCUAUGUGCUAGGCUGAGUGCAAAGGGCUAGGGGUACAAAGUUGACAAAACCAUACGUGGCCCUGUGCAAAAUAGCCCAGGAUGCUGGGUAGACCACAGUGUGACUUCAACCCUUGACAUAAUCUAGCUCUGGUAGCUCGCACACCAGCCUCAGGCGAUUGGCCUUCUUCCUAGUUUGCAGGAGAGAAACUCAGACUCUUUUUUUUUUUUCCCCACUGUACAGCAAGGGGGGGUCAGGUUAUCCUUACAUGUAUACAUUGCAAUUACAGUUUUUCCCCCACCCGUUCUUCUGUUGCAACAUGAGUAUCUAGACAUAGUUCUCGAUGCUAUUCAGCAGGAUCUCCUUGUAAAUCUAUUCUAGGUUGUCCAUCAGACUCUUUCCUCUGAGCUGGAAAAAUUAGCCUCACUAGGCCUCCUCUCAAAAUCAGCUGACCCCUUUCUCAAAGAUGGGUAGGUAGAUACUCAGGUAGAUGGUAGGAUAGGACGCUCAGCCGUACUCAUCAGAGUGAGUCAUCCACCCUCCUGCUAAUUUGAAGUGACUCACCAAGCCCGUCUCACCUAUUCCCCAACAUCCUAAAGGGGUCCUUCAGUCCCCCUCUGCUUCCGUCCACCUGGCCUGUGUUUUCCUGACCUCUGAGGGCUUAACGCAACCCAGCUUUGCUGGAUUAGAAUCAAGUGAUUCUGCCCAGCAGCCUCUCAUUUCCCUCAUGCCCCGCUCCUCCCUGUUUCUGCCUUGUGCCUCGGGGCCCGGUUGUCAGGAGGCCUGCCUUUCCCGGAGCGGCACCCCCCAGAGGCCCCCUCUGGGCUGGCCUUCGGGGAGAUCGCCCCUUUCUGCCUCCCUCGGCGCCCUUCCUCUGCUGUGCCAGCGUCAAAGGCGUGGGGGUCUGUGCUUGCUGUGCUGUUUCCUCACCAGGUCGGUAGAUCGGAUCCUGCUCAUGCAUUGGUGCCAGGGUUAUCAUUCCCCAAGGGCAUGAACUUUUGCUUCCGUGUGGGGUCAGAUCUGCACGUAAAUGUUGUGGUCGUUUGCUGUUUUGUGAUUUCAGGUCAUGGAGCCCAUUUUUAAGCUUGGUAGGUAGGAUGGAUGCUCCAGUUUGAUCACCCAUCUCAGUCCUGGUGUAAACAUGAGCAGGCAGGGGAGGGUGGCUGACCUGUACUGAGCACUUGCUGCGUAUUAGGCCGCGUCCUCAGUGCUCGGCGUGCUUUAUCUCACGGAAAUCCUUAGAGCAGCCUUCAUUUUCCAGAGGGGGAGACGCAGCAUGCAGUGGUGAGUAUCCUGCUGAAGCAGAAGCAAAACCUCAGGCGUUCUGGUCUCCAGACACCGUCCGUAUGGGAGAGAGUUAGCUGGCAUGACUUUCAGAUUGUGUGGAUGCUGGUGUUUUGUUUUGUUUUAUAAUAUGAAACUAAGUGAUGGGCUUAAACUAUGAAUGGAAAUAGAAUCUCAGAUACACAGUGAGAUAAACAUCAGCAGAAUGAAUGCCAGCCAGGUUUUUAGUUAAUUGAGAAUAACUCAGUCGUUUUGUAGCAGCUUUUGAUGAUGGUUCCCUUUUCACUCUUCUGUACCUUAGUUUAAAAACAAAAGCAGUUUUCACCAAAGCUCACGGUUAGUGUCGCAUGAGAGGUCGUGUUCCCUACGUUGGGCGUCCUGUUUUCAGGACCUGUUCAUGGGUAAAAAACAUCAUCAAGUUAUGGCAGAAACCAGAGGUAGCAAGCCUUCCACUGUGAGAUGCAUAAACAUUUCAUGUUUUUAAGAAAGUCUGGCUGUUGUCUAUGGAACACAGAAACUGAUCAUCAAUUUAUUGCAACUAAUUUUGAACGCCAGAGUGACACUGAUCGUGGCUGCCUUCCCAGAGCUUUCAGAAAAACACAACCAACCUGUUGUGUUUGUUUCAUUUGCCAAGGAUGUCGGGGUUGCAGUUGGCUGGGUAUUUCAGCUGCCACACACAUAAUGACUCUCUCUGUUUCAGU